GAGCUAUAUGCUAGGCUAGAGGGCAGGGGAUUGAAGGGAGAAUAUCAGGCAGGGCAAGGUCAGCACUAGGCCUUCAGUGGGAAGAGUCCAACCAGUUCCACUCCUCUUCCCCAGAUGUGUAGAACCUCAGAGAGGAACCUGGAUUAAAGGACUACCAAAGAUGACACUAUGAGGAUAUACCCGUGUUCAGAAUUGGGGGGGUUGGUGGAGAGCCAGGACCCAUUUUUGGAGCCCAGCCUAGGGAGAAGAAGUGGGAAGGGAGAGUCCGGGCAAUGCCUGGAUAGCACAGUACUGUUGUAGCGUCAAAUGAGGCAAGGCACCGAACAUAGUAAAAGAUAGUUUUAUUUGGCUGCAGCCAGGCUCAGAGGGCACAGAUUUUGCUGUAAUCAAUCAAUCCCAUGAACUCCGAUUUCAGGUACUUUCAGAAUUUUAUACCCAUCAUGUAAGGACAAGGGCUCAGAAGUUCACAGUCUUCAGAAGUUCACAUAAAAGCAGCUUUUUCUUUCAAUGUUUUGUGCAAGUUAACUCUUCAAGGACAACUCCUGAAAAGGGGAGAGAUUCUUUUCCCCAUUUUUUCUCUCCCUGCCAGUUGUUACUAUGGAGCCCAGUGGGUAACAUAUCUUAAAAAUGUAGACAUCUCUGUGAAGCCCAGCACAAGACCAGAGGCCUUGUUUGCA
This 677-nucleotide long non-coding RNA is filed under the name Marmota monax (woodchuck). The record is from RNAcentral. Lineage: Eukaryota; Metazoa; Chordata; Mammalia; Rodentia; Sciuridae.